RNAcentral lists this ribosomal RNA (301 nucleotides) under uncultured bacterium. Its description in RNAcentral is "partial 16S ribosomal RNA". It matches the Rfam family "Bacterial small subunit ribosomal RNA", at positions 509 to 809 of the family's 1533-position model. The record is from RNAcentral.
CAGUCGCCACGGGAAAACGGAGGGGGCUAGCGUUGUUCGGAAUUACUGGGCGUAAAGCGCACGUAGGCGGCUUUGUAAGUUAGAGGUGAAAGCCCGGGGCUCAACUCCGGAAUUGCCUUUAAGACUGCAUCGCUUGAAUCGCGGAGAGGUGAGUGGAAUUCCGAGUGUAGAGGUGAAAUUCGUAGAUAUUCGGAAGAACACCAGUGGCGAAGGCGGCUCACUGGACGCGUAUUGACGCUGAGGUGCGAAAGCGUGGGGAGCAAACAGGAUUAGAUACCCGAGUAGUCCCUGUCUCUUAUAA